GGGGAUUUAGCUCAGUGGUAGAGCGCUUGCCUAGGAAGCGCAAGGCCCUGGGUUCGAUCUCCAGCUCCG
This is a non-coding RNA of Rattus norvegicus (Norway rat), 69 nucleotides long. The record is from Rfam. NCBI's taxonomy places the organism in Eukaryota, Metazoa, Chordata, Mammalia, Rodentia, Muridae.